RNAcentral lists this long non-coding RNA (1566 nucleotides) under Nicotiana tabacum (common tobacco). RNAcentral's name for it is "long non-coding RNA (NTAB_LNC001646)". The record is from RNAcentral. Lineage: Eukaryota; Viridiplantae; Streptophyta; Magnoliopsida; Solanales; Solanaceae.
UCCACUUCACUUCGUCUUUCUCAUCUCCUCAUCUAACCCUAGCACCGCCUCAAAAUCUUCCGCCAUUCCCACCGACGUUGGAGCUCCAAAUCCUCUCAAAAUUCGAUCACACAACCCUCACUCACCCCCCAAGUCCCAAUCUACCACCAUAUCUCCUCAAACCCUCCCCAAAAUGGACCAAAUUUUGGAUCUAAAGAAAGGCAGAAAAAAAAAUCUUCUAAAUCUUCGAGUUUCCAAGACUGAUUAAGGCCGAAAUUGGUGUCAUUCGUUUGUUCUCCACAAGAACACACGAUUAUUCCCAAUUUUGGCCCAAAUCAAAAAUGUCAGAGAUUCGUUCAAGCCCUUGGUUGCUUGCAUAUCUAGGUAUUAUUAUUCUUUGACAAUUUUUUCUUCGUCCUUUAUCCUGUUCCCAUCUUCAUCUCCUUCUAUUUCCUCUUUUAUUUUUCUUUAUUAUUUUUCUAUUUUUUAAACCAUCUUACUGUCGCAUGUUAAAAUUAAAAGCAUGUUUAGUUCACAUUUGUUUUAAUUUUCAUGUUUGGUUUGAUCAGUUCGUUUUUUUUAUUUUGUUUUAUUUCAGAAGAAAUUCUGGUUUUUUGCAACUCCAUUAGCCUGUAUCUUUGUGGGUUUUGUUUUUCCUUUUUAAAUUAGACUUGGGCUCUGUCAGCAGAAGCCCAAAUAGGGAAGGUUAAUCCAGGUUUACGAGCCCCGGGGUUUGUUUUGUUUAUCGGGUCAAUUUGACCCAUGUUUGAUCUUGAAGUAAUUUGGAGGGGUUUAAAGGGUAGUCUAGAAAAUUGGGCAAGGGGAAUCUUUAAAAAUUGAAUAGGAAGCUUCCUGGAAAGAGGGGUUUGGUUAGUUCAGUAAUUGGUUUAGAAGUUCAGGGUUUAAAAUAAAAGAAUUGGAAACCGGGAAAGGGGUAAUUGAUAAAUAACAGGCUUGUUUUGUUUAUAUUUCUGGGAAUUUUUAAAAGUUCAAGAAGACUAUUAAUCUCUUGGGCUAGAAAGAUGGAUUUAACUAUUUAAAGUUUGUUGUUUACUGCUAUUCAAAAGUUGUUGCUACUGUUAUUUCCUUGCUGAGAAGCUCUGUUGGUUGUUCUUAUUAUUCCAGGUACUCUUUUGAACCUUGAAUGUCAAAUGGAGCUUUGAAUAUGUGUGUAUGGAAGAUAUGGUUCUGCUGAUAUUUAAUAAGGAUCAUUUUAUUUGGUUUUGCUUUAGUUUUCCAUGUUUUGGCUAUUCAAUUUUCAUUUCAUUUCCUCUUGUCUAUUUCUUUUCUUGUAAUGUUUAAGCUUAUUGUGAUUUUUUUGGUUAAUAAAGAUGUUAAUAGAAUAUAUUCAAAAACUCAUGCUUAUGUUAGAAGUCUGUAUAACUGUCCUGUUAGCCUAUUGUUCAUUGAAAUGGGGAGUUAAACGUUUGUAAUGGCUUUGGGGCUUGCCUGUCAUUUUGAGGAAUGAAUUUUGAACCCAUAUUGUGUGUACUGUGGAGGAAAUUUCGUGGGACUGCAUAAAACACUGUCCAAAAGGUCAUAUUAGAAGUCAGAUGUUGUUAUGGGUAGUUAAAUGAAAACUUUGGC